RNAcentral lists this ribosomal RNA (366 nucleotides) under Triticum aestivum (bread wheat). Its description in RNAcentral is "partial small subunit ribosomal RNA". The record is from RNAcentral. Lineage: Eukaryota; Viridiplantae; Streptophyta; Magnoliopsida; Poales; Poaceae.
AUGGAGGGAGUGGAUCGCCAUGCUUCUUCACACCUCCUCCUCGCGUGUCCUAAUAAAUGGCGCUUUUUCAGAGCCAAUAUUACAUCGGAAGGGGCUCAGGCAGGGAGACCCUAUCUCCCAUUCCUAUUUGUGCUGGCGAUGGAUCCGCUUCAGCGCAUUAUGAACCUGGCCACGGAGGCUGGCCUCCUAGCGAAGCUUCCCGGCCGGCGGCAUAUCAUGCGCUGCUCCUUCUACGCCGACGAUGUGGCCCUCUUCAUGACACCGUCCGCGGCUGACGCAAGUUUGAUCAAGAUGUUGUUGAGCUUCUUUGGUAAUGCAACAGGGCUGCACACAAACACUCUUGAUACGUCUCCAACCUAUCUAUAA